CACCGCGGUUAUACGAGAGGCCCAAGUUGACAAAGACCGGCGUAAAGAGUGGUUAAUAUAGUAUAAACUAAAGCCGAACACCUUCAAGACCGUUAUACGUACCCGAAGGUAAGAAGACCCCCAACGAAAGUGGCUUUAACCAAGAUGACACCACGAAAGCUGUGGCA
Molecule: ribosomal RNA, 167 nt
Filed under: Stonogobiops medon
Lineage: Eukaryota; Metazoa; Chordata; Actinopteri; Gobiiformes; Gobiidae
Description: partial small subunit ribosomal RNA
Source: RNAcentral